This 303-nucleotide ribosomal RNA is filed under the name uncultured bacterium. RNAcentral describes it as "partial 16S ribosomal RNA". It matches the Rfam family "Bacterial small subunit ribosomal RNA", at positions 507 to 807 of the family's 1533-position model. The record is from RNAcentral.
AGCAGUAGCCACGGGAAUACGAAGGGGGCUAGCGUUGUUCGGAAUUACUGGGCGUAAAGCGCACGUAGGCGGAUAUUUAAGUCAGGGGUGAAAUCCCAGAGCUCAACUCUGGAACUGCCUUUGAUACUGGGUAUCUUGAGUAUGGAAGAGGUGAGUGGAAUUCCGAGUGUAGAGGUGAAAUUCGUAGAUAUUCGGAGGAACACCAGUGGCGAAGGCGGCUCACUGGUCCAUUACUGACGCUGAGGUGCGAAAGCGUGGGGAGCAAACAGGAUUAGAUACCCCGGUAGUCCCUGUCUCUUAUAC